RNAcentral lists this unclassified non-coding RNA (292 nucleotides) under Hevea brasiliensis (rubber tree). Lineage: Eukaryota; Viridiplantae; Streptophyta; Magnoliopsida; Malpighiales; Euphorbiaceae. The record is from RNAcentral.
GAAGAAGAAGAAGACGAAGAAGAAAGAUCUCAGGCAAAUGGACAUUUAUCUUUUAUUAUUGCACUUAAAUUUUUUAUGUACACCAACAGUUACAGUAGAAAAUUCGUAUUGUUUUUUGGUGAUUGAUGAUAUGCAUACGAAUCUUGAUGGUCACAUAUUGCUCCAAAUUUGCACUGUAAACGUAUCCAUUUACCUUGUUGUAUAUGAAACAUUGUUGAGGUGCAAAAUGAUAUUCCUGUUUCAAAAUUGAAUUCUUUAAAUUAGGAUAAUCAAAACAAUAAUAUACUUUGGG